GAAGGUAUAGCUCAGUGGUAAAGCACCUGCUUAGUAUGCACAAAGUCCUAGGUUCAAUCCCCAGUGCUUCCA
Molecule: transfer RNA, 72 nt
Filed under: Camelus bactrianus (Bactrian camel)
Lineage: Eukaryota; Metazoa; Chordata; Mammalia; Artiodactyla; Camelidae
Also listed under: 2 other names
Rfam family: tRNA
About the family: Transfer RNA (tRNA) molecules are approximately 80 nucleotides in length. Their secondary structure includes four short double-helical elements and three loops (D, anti-codon, and T loops). Further hydrogen bonds mediate the characteristic L-shaped molecular structure. tRNAs have two regions of fundamental functional importance: the anti-codon, which is responsible for specific mRNA codon recognition, and the 3' end, to which the tRNAs corresponding amino acid is attached (by aminoacyl-tRNA synthetases). tRNAs cope with the degeneracy of the genetic code in two manners: having more than one tRNA (with a specific anti-codon) for a particular amino acid; and 'wobble' base-pairing, i.e. permitting non-standard base-pairing at the 3rd anti-codon position.
Source: Rfam by way of RNAcentral